This 253-nucleotide ribosomal RNA is filed under the name uncultured bacterium. Its description in RNAcentral is "partial 16S ribosomal RNA". It matches the Rfam family "Bacterial small subunit ribosomal RNA", at positions 524 to 776 of the family's 1533-position model. The record is from RNAcentral.
UACAGAGGUCUCAAGCGUUGUUCGGAUUCAUUGGGCGUAAAGGGUGCGUAGGCGGCGCGGUAAGUCGGGUGUGAAAUCUCGGAGCUUAACUCCGAAACUGCAUUCGAUACUGCCGUGCUUGAGGACUGGAGAGGAGAGUGGAAUUCCCAGUGUAGAGGUGAAAUUCGUAGAUAUUGGGAAGAACACCGGUGGCGAAGGCGGCUCUCUGGACAGUUCCUGACGCUGAGGCACGAAGGCCAGGGGAGCAAACGGG